GACGAACGCUGGCGGCGUGCUUAACACAUGCAAGUCGAACGGAAAGGCCCUGCUUUUGUGGGGUGCUCGAGUGGCGAACGGGUGAGUAACACGUGAGUAACCUGCCCUUGACUUUGGGAUAACUUCAGGAAACUGGGGCUAAUACCGGAUAGGAGCUCCUGCUGCAUGGUGGGGGUUGGAAAGUUUCGGCGGUUGGGGAUGGACUCGCGGCGUAUCAGCUUGUUGGUGGGGUAGUGGCUUACCAAGGCUUUGACGGGUAGCCGGCCUGAGAGGGUGACCGGCCACAUUGGGACUGAGAUACGGCCCAGACUCCUACGGGAGGCAGCAGUGGGGAAUAUUGCACAAUGGGCGGAAGCCUGAUGCAGCAACGCCGCGUGCGGGAUGACGGCCUUCGGGUUGUAAACCGCUUUCGCCUGUGACGAAGCGUGAGUGACGGUAAUGGGUAAAGAAGCACCGGCUAACUACGUGCCAGCAGCCGCGGUGAUACGUAGGGUGCGAGCGUUGUCCGGAUUUAUUGGGCGUAAAGGGCUCGUAGGUGGUUGAUCGCGUCGGAAGUGUAAUCUUGGGGCUUAACCCUGAGCGUGCUUUCGAUACGGGUUGACUUGAGGAAGGUAGGGGAGAAUGGAAUUCCUGGUGGAGCGGUGGAAUGCGCAGAUAUCAGGAGGAACACCAGUGGCGAAGGCGGUUCUCUGGGCCUUUCCUGACGCUGAGGAGCGAAAGCGUGGGGAGCGAACAGGCUUAGAUACCCUGGUAGUCCACGCUGUAAACGGUGGGUACUAGGUGUGGGGUCCAUUCCACGGGUUCCGUGCCGUAGCUAACGCUUUAAGUACCCCGCCUGGGGAGUACGGCCGCAAGGCUAAAACUCAAAGGAAUUGACGGGGCCCCGCACAAGCGGCGGAGCAUGCGGAUUAAUUCGAUGCAACGCGUAGAACCUUACCUGGGUUUGACAUGGAUCGGGAGUGCUCAGAGAUGGGUGUGCCUCUUUUGGGGUCGGUUCACAGGUGGUGCAUGGCUGUCGUCAGCUCGUGUCGUGAGAUGUUGGGUUAAGUCCCGCAACGAACGCAACCCUUGUUCACUGUUGCCAGCACGUUAUGGUGGGGACUCAGUGGAGACCGCCGGGGUCAACUCGGAGGAAGGUGGGGAUGACGUCAAGUCAUCAUGCCCCUUAUGUCCAGGGCUUCACGCAUGCUACAAUGGCUGGUACAGAGAGUGGCGAGCCUGUGAGGGUGAGCGAAUCUCGGAAAGCCGGUCUCAGUUCGGAUUGGGGUCUGCAACUCGACCUCAUGAAGUCGGAGUCGCUAGUAAUCGCAGAUCAGCAACGCUGCGGUGAAUACGUUCCCGGG
Molecule: ribosomal RNA, 1343 nt
Filed under: uncultured bacterium
Lineage: Bacteria
Description: 16S ribosomal RNA
Rfam family: Bacterial small subunit ribosomal RNA
Source: RNAcentral